This 429-nucleotide long non-coding RNA is filed under the name Melopsittacus undulatus (budgerigar). Its description in RNAcentral is "lncRNA (ENSMUNG00000018117.1)". The record is from RNAcentral. Lineage: Eukaryota; Metazoa; Chordata; Aves; Psittaciformes; Psittaculidae.
CCCAGGCAAGCGCAGGCACAGGAGACCGCCUCCGUCUCCCUCCCCUUCUCCUCAGAUGCCCUUUGCUGCUGCUGCAGCAGGGUUAUUAUUACAGUAUGUGGCUGUUCCCUGUUCUCUCCUCCCUUCUUCCUCCUCCCCGCUCCCCGCCCCUCAGCGGUCGACCGCUGCCUGCGCGGGGGGGACAGCUGCGGCCCGCCCCGUCGCUCACCUCAGCCCCCUUCUACCCCCGGCUCUGGCCGGCAGAGCGCGGAAGCUACCCCGACUCCCAGACGGCGCGGGGGACGCGGGACUGCGGAUUAUUGCCGACUAAGCAGUCUGAUCAUGUAGAAAGGACAGAAAGUGAGCAGGGAGCGGGGGCUUUUAUCUAUUGUUCUCCUUGUGCUUCUUGAGAGAAACUGCAGCCCCAAGACUUAACAGAAUCAAAAAAUG